CUUACAUGUAUUCUCAGAAUUUUGAAUGUUUUCUUAAGUGCUUUCACUUCCUGAAUACUAAAAAAAAAAAAAUUUAAAGGAGAGAGCAACUUACUAAUAAAAAAAAAAGCAAUGCACCAUGACAAGUAGACUAUUUUGAGCGAUCAUGAAACAGGUUGGUUUUGUCAGUAACUUGAAUGUUUAUGCCUCAUUGAAACUUCAUCCAUGGCUAUAGCAACUUAAAUAGAUUUUCCAAUACAUUUCCAGCCAGUUUAUUCAAAUCCUUGUUCUUCAGUUUUGCCUUCUUUCCCUGUGCUGUCACCUAUGGCAGUUUCAUUUAGAAAUAUUUUGGAAGCUCGCCUGGUUUUACAGACCUUUAAAUAUUUGUCUGGUAUGUGAAAUGCAGGAAGAGACCGAAGAGGGAAAGAACAUAACUGAAAUUAGACAUCUGAAAAAAAUAAUACAAAUUUGAAACAGGCACGUUUUUAAAAAGUAAAAGAAAGGAGCACUAAUUAUGUGAGUGGGAAGAGAAAAAAGCACGUGAUGCAGAGGUGGGAGGUCUGCCCUGCUUUCCUGGGAUGCAGCACGGUCUUUGAGUCUGGGCAACCACACACUUACUGGUCGGCAUGCAAGAGAAGGAUGUGGACUUCUUAGCAGGGAGCAGGGCACUCAAUUUUCUUAGCUUCUACCUCCCACAUGCCUGGGUUAGUCUAACUUCUGGCAAAUUGAUCUUGGGCAAGAAAAAGCUUUACUGAGAGGUAGCAUCUGUCAGCCUUGGUUGAGUAGCCACCUCAAGGCUGACUUACAGAGUGGGUAGGUUUAUUAUACCUCAAAUGAGGAUAAAACUCCAUAAUAAAGGACCCAAAGCAAACACUUUCAAGAGCUUGAUGAUUUUUUAUCACCUAAAAUGUAGUUAGCUUUAUUUAGCAAAACCCCAGUAGAAUCCACCAUGCAUCUUUUUCCCCAGUAUCCUUUCUUUGGAGUCACAGCGUUUUGUGAGCCACAUAUAAAUAUCUCACUUUCUGUUGCAGUGUGCUUGCAGGUGGUAUCAUGGUGGGAAGCGUUCGAAGUGGGGAAUUCUGGAAUGGAAAUUUGGAGUCAAGUCAUUCUAGGCUGCUAUGGAGAAUGCUAAAGAGAAUACUGUUGUUAUAAAAGAUAAACACCUAAUUUUGUAUGGAGUUUUGCUAUUGAAUUUUCAAUUCUGUUAUAAACAAAGCUGGCUUUAUCUGUGGAGAGUGUGUGCUCCAGAGGUGAUUCACCACGUUGUUCAUUUUAUGGUUUCUGGACACUAGGGUUAGAAUAAGGACAAUAGGACUUCGUCCAAACUGGAGAAACGGAGUUGUAUUUUCUUUGAAACCAUAAGUAUAGAUAAACUCCAGAUUGGCCUUUUGGAUCGAUUUUAUAUUUUUGGUAGUUGGGAACCAAGUCUGAAUAUUCAAAUAAAUAAACACCCUCAGAUGUAAAGCCACACUCCUUGUUUUAUAGGCAAUGUCAAAAAUGGGAAGUUACUUUCUUUAUGGUGUGCCAUUGAUUUUGAAACAUUUUUAUAUUACCUACUCUGCCCUUAUAACUUUUUUUUUCAGGUAUCAUUGCCACUUACCUUAUUUUCAAAAUAAAUUAGAAUUCUAGAUUAAAAUAUUGUUUUGAGUGCCCUCUGGGAAGAUUUGUUUUUCAUAUUGCCUGUUUCCAUAGCAAAAAAAAAAAAAAGUUCAGAACUGUGCAUGGUACUCAAAAGUCUAAGAAUAUGAUGUAAGUAGCAAUAUAAUCACCACAACUAAAUUUCUUUUUAACUGUGUUGCAAAAUAGAUUUUUUUAUCUAAAAUCACUCCUCACUUCCAACAUUUCUUUGUGAGUUUUAAUAUAGCAAACCCUCGCGUAUCACGCACCACAUCAACAAGUUUUUCUUCCCUUGGAUUAUUAAUUUUUGCUUCUUUGCACUACAUUUGUCUUGUGCCGAAAUGACAAAAGCAGGCAGCAACAAAGAUCCGGGUACUAGCCAUAUGUAGAAAGUUCUGGUGUGCAUUUCUGUGUCCUUUUUCCUCACAUAUUAGAAUUGUCAGGAACGGUUUUUUCCUUUGGAACUUCAUGUUGACAUCUUGCAUGAUCUUAUAAAUUAAGCUGAAGAGAAACUGGAUACCUUUUAUGGUUAUUUGAAAAUAAAAUUUGCUACAAAUAA
Long non-coding RNA from Equus caballus (horse), 2155 nucleotides. NCBI's taxonomy places the organism in Eukaryota, Metazoa, Chordata, Mammalia, Perissodactyla, Equidae. The record is from Ensembl.